This 482-nucleotide ribosomal RNA is filed under the name uncultured Bacteroidota bacterium. Its description in RNAcentral is "bacterial SSU rRNA". It matches the Rfam family "Bacterial small subunit ribosomal RNA", at positions 355 to 834 of the family's 1533-position model. Lineage: Bacteria; Pseudomonadati; Bacteroidota. The record is from RNAcentral.
UAAGGAAUAUUGGUCAAUGGACGCAAGUCUGAACCAGCCAUGCCGCGUGGAGGAUGAAGGUCCUCUGGAUUGUAAACUUCUUUUAUCUGGGACGAAAAAAGGCUUUUCUAAGUCGACUGACGGUACCAGAUGAAUAAGCACCGGCUAACUCCGUGCCAGCAGCCGCGGUAAUACGGAGGGUGCAAGCGUUAUCCGGAUUCACUGGGUUUAAAGGGUGCGUAGGCGGGUAUGUAAGUCCGUGGUGAAAUCUCCGAGCUUAACUCGGAAACUGCCAUGGGUACUGCGUAUCUUGAAUGUUGUGGAGGUGAGCGGAAUAUGUCAUGUAGCGGUGAAAUGCUUAGAUAUGACAUAGAACACCAAUUGCGAAGGCAGCUCACUACACAAAUAUUGACGCUGAGGCACGAAAGCGUGGGGAUCAAACAGGAUUAGAUACCCUGGUAGUCCACGCCCUAAACGAUGAUUACUCGACAUACGUGAUACAC